This is a non-coding RNA of Otolemur garnettii (small-eared galago), 46 nucleotides long. NCBI's taxonomy places the organism in Eukaryota, Metazoa, Chordata, Mammalia, Primates, Galagidae. The record is from Rfam.
CCAAAGGCUCUUUUCAGAGCCACCACGUAUUCGUUAAAAGGGCUUG